UUGCUUUAAUUUAAUCAUAGACUUAGAAGACACGAUUGAUUCAGAAUUUGAUGGUUGGCUAUCGACGGACGCGGGCCAGAGGACGCCUGUGAAGCAAUCCUCCGGCGGUCGUGAGACGGAUCCGCCGAAGCAACAAAGGUUCAAUAAACAAAGGGUUGGGAGGUCGGGCCUAGAAGACCCUAACUCAUUAAUGAUCCUUCCGCAGGUUCACCUACGGAAA
This 220-nucleotide unclassified non-coding RNA is filed under the name uncultured fungus. Its description in RNAcentral is "sequence contains ITS1". Lineage: Eukaryota; Fungi. The record is from RNAcentral.